UACGGAGGGUGCAAGCGUUAUCCGGAAUCAUUGGGUUAAAGGGUCCGCAGGCGGUCUAAUAAGUCAGUGGUGAAAGCCUACAGCUCAACUGGUAGAACUGCCAUUGAUACUGUUAGACUUGAAUUCGGUCGAAGUGGGCGGAAUGUGACAUGUAGCGGUGAAAUGCUUAGAUAUGUCACAGAACACCGAUAGCGAAGGCAGCUCACUAGGC
This 211-nucleotide ribosomal RNA is filed under the name uncultured bacterium. RNAcentral's name for it is "partial 16S ribosomal RNA". It matches the Rfam family "Bacterial small subunit ribosomal RNA", at positions 524 to 734 of the family's 1533-position model. The record is from RNAcentral.